Molecule: long non-coding RNA, 178 nt
Organism: Rhipicephalus microplus (southern cattle tick)
Lineage: Eukaryota; Metazoa; Arthropoda; Arachnida; Ixodida; Ixodidae
Source: RefSeq, a predicted model, not a curated record
ACGCACCGGACGUCCACACGGUGACCAGCAAGGAGAUCCACGCACCGCUCCAGUUCGACGAGCAAGACCUUGAGGACAGAACGACAGGCAAAGCAAGGCGCUUCACAGAUGGUCACACCUCAGGACGAAGUCGAGGUUCGAAAGCAGCACCCGGCCGUCGUCGCAAAGCUGGCCACGG